AGAAUUGUUAGCUGUACAUUCCCGCCUGGCAUAGGUCAUCUGACCUUGACCUCAUUUUCAUGGUUCAUUGGAAUGUUUAUUUUUCUUGGUAAAUGUUAAUUUUAUGUGACAGUUGUAAUAAAGCUUUAUAUUUAGGACUAUCAACAUAAUAUCAAUGUUUAAUAAAGAAGACGGGACAUUUCAGCUUGUGCACUCUUGUCUUGGUUAAUAUAAAAAAGAAGAUGUGGUAUGAUUGCCAAUGAGACAACCGUCCACAAGAGACCAAAAUGAAACAGAAAUUAACAACUAUAACUAAACAAGUCUGUUUCUUAGAAGCAAUAAGAAUUAGGUGAACUAUAUUUAGUGUAUUGAAUGAUUGUAAGGCGAGAC
Molecule: long non-coding RNA, 369 nt
Filed under: Mytilus galloprovincialis (Mediterranean mussel)
Lineage: Eukaryota; Metazoa; Mollusca; Bivalvia; Mytilida; Mytilidae
Source: RNAcentral